Molecule: ribosomal RNA, 468 nt
Filed under: uncultured bacterium
Lineage: Bacteria
Description: partial 16S ribosomal RNA
Rfam family: Bacterial small subunit ribosomal RNA
Source: RNAcentral
GACGAACGCUGGCGGCGUGCUUAACACAUGCAAGUCGAACGGACAGGCCCUGCGUUUGCGGGGUUCUCGAUUGGCGAACGCGUGAGUAACACGUGUGUAACCUCCCCUUGACUUUGGGAUAACUUCUGGAAACUGGGGCUAUUACCGGAUAGGAUCUCCUGCUCCACAUUGGUGGUUGGAAAGAUUCGGCUGUUGGGGAUGGACUCGCUGGUUAUCCGCCUGUUUGUGGGGUAGUGGCUUACCAAGGCUUUGACGGGUAGGCGGCCUGAGAGGGUGACCGGCCUCAUGGCGACUGAGAGAGGGCGCAGACUCGUACGGGCGGCAGCAGUGGAAAGUAUUGCAGAAUGGGCGGAAGCCUGAUGCAGCAGCGCUGCGAGCGGGAAGCCGGGCUACGGGGUGUAAACCGAUGUCGAAGGAGACGAAGCGUGAGUGACGGUAAUGGGUAAAGAAGCACCGGCUAACUACGUG